CACAGUCAUAAGACAGGAGAAAUUGUCGAUGAAUACCUUCAAGUACUGGAACAUUUUUGUCAAAGGAAUGAUAAUACUAGAAAUGUCUUCAUCGCCAGUGUGUAUACAGCUAGGAAUUUCAUCUCGUUUCUGAUCCAUUAUACCUCAACAUCGACAGGAAAGGAUGUGAGAAACUGUUGAGACAUCGGGAAAAUGGUGCGUUUUUAUUCAGGCCAAGUCAAAAUUAUUGUCUAGUGUUGACUGUGAAGAAAAAUCACAUGUUUUGUAACUUUGGAAUCAAUAGAGCAUUCAAUGGAAAAAUUUACCUGCAUUCCGAAACUGCUUCAAUAAUCCGUACAUUUUCGAGCCUACAAGAAUUUAUCAAUUAUUACUGCCUUGAACCCAUUAUAUUUAGGAAAACUGAGGAUCCUGACGAAUGGGAUGAAAUAUGCAUGAAUCCGUCCCUUGGAAAUGACGCAUUUCAGAAAAACCGGAUAAAAAAAUUUAUUGUUAUUGAACAGUCUCACACAAAGUUGACUAAAAGUCCAUAGGAUAUGGAAAAGUGAUCAGAAACCCCUGCUUAUUUGAGGAAUUUGACUAUUGCGGCAAUGAAAUGAAAAAGUAUUGUGAGAAUGGUUGAAUUUGUAUAUGAUAUUUCAAUAAAACAGUGAAUACAUACCCUUUUUGUACA
Leptinotarsa decemlineata (Colorado potato beetle) is the source of this 670-nucleotide long non-coding RNA. NCBI's taxonomy places the organism in Eukaryota, Metazoa, Arthropoda, Insecta, Coleoptera, Chrysomelidae. The record is from RefSeq and is a predicted model, not a curated record.